This 506-nucleotide ribosomal RNA is filed under the name uncultured bacterium. Its description in RNAcentral is "partial 16S ribosomal RNA". It matches the Rfam family "Bacterial small subunit ribosomal RNA", at positions 30 to 523 of the family's 1533-position model. The record is from RNAcentral.
AUUGAACGCUGGCGGCAGGCCUAACACAUGCAAGUCGAACGGUAACAGGUAACAGCUUGCUGUUUCGCUGACGAGUGGCGGACGGGUGAGUAAUGUCUGGGAAACUGCCUGAUGGAGGGGGAUAACUACUGGAAACGGUAGCUAAUACCGCAUAACGUCGCAAGACCAAAGAGGGGGACCUUCGGGCCUCUUGCCAUCGGAUGUGCCCAGAUGGGAUUAGCUAGUAGGUGGGGUAACGGCUCACCUAGGAGACGAUCCCUAGCUGGUCUGAGAGGAUGAACAGCCACACUGGAACUGAGACACGGUCCAGACUCCUACGGGAGGCAGCAGUGGGGAAUAUUGCACAAUGGGCGCAAGCCUGAUGCAGCCAUGCCGCGUGUAUGAAGAAGGCCUUCGGGUUGUAAAGUACUUUCAGCGGGGAGGAAGGGAGUAAAGUUAAUACCUUUGCUCAUUGACGUUACCCGCAGAAGAAGCACCGGCUAACUCCGUGCCAGCCGCCGCAGUAA